AAAUGAAUAGACGGGGGCCCGCACAAGCGGCGGAGCGUGCGGUUUAAUUCGACGCAACGCGCAGAACCUUACCAGGGCUUGACAUGCGACUGCAGGCUCAUGAAAGUGAGCGUCCUUCGAGGGUGUCGCACAGGUGCUGCAUGGCUGUCGUCAGCUCGUGUCGUGAGAUGUUGGGUUAAGUCCCGCAACGAGCGCAACCCUCGCCGCCAGUUACGUGGGUGUCUGGCGGGACUGCCGGUAGCAAGCCGGAGGAAGGCGGGGAUGAUGUCAAGUCAGCAUGGCCCUUACGUCCUGGGCUACACGCACGCUACAAUGGCGCGCACAGAGGGUAGCCAAACCGCGAGGUGGAGCGAAUCCCAAAAAGCGCGUCUCAGUUCAGAUUGUGGGCUGCAACUCGCCCGCAUGAAGGUGGAGUCGCUAGUAACCGCCGGUCAGCAAUACGGCGGUGAAUACGUUCCCGGGCCUUGUACACACCGCCCGU
RNAcentral lists this ribosomal RNA (481 nucleotides) under uncultured bacterium. Its description in RNAcentral is "bacterial SSU rRNA". It matches the Rfam family "Bacterial small subunit ribosomal RNA", at positions 903 to 1397 of the family's 1533-position model. The record is from RNAcentral.